GAUGAACGCUGGCGGCGUGCUUAACACAUGCAAGUCGAACGGAAAGGCUCCUGCUUGCAGGGGUACUCGAGUGGCGAACGGGUGAGUAACACGUGGGUGAUCUGCCCUGCACUUCGGGAUAAGCCUGGGAAACUGGGUCUAAUACCGGAUAGGACGAUGGUUUGGAUGCCAUUGUGGAAAGUUUUUCGGUGUGGGAUGAGCUCGCGGCCUAUCAGCUUGUUGGUGGGGUAAUGGCCUACCAAGGCGUCGACGGGUAGCCGGCCUGAGAGGGUGUACGGCCACAUUGGGACUGAGAUACGGCCCAGACUCCUACGGGAGGCAGCAGUGGGGAGUAUUGCACAAUGGGCGCAAGCCUGAUGCAGCGACGCCGCGUGGGGGAUGACGGCCUUCGGGUUGUAAACUCCUUUCGCUAGGGACGAAGCGCAAGUGACGGUACCUGGAGAAGAAGCACCGGCUAACUACGUG
RNAcentral lists this ribosomal RNA (465 nucleotides) under uncultured bacterium. RNAcentral describes it as "partial 16S ribosomal RNA". It matches the Rfam family "Bacterial small subunit ribosomal RNA", at positions 28 to 507 of the family's 1533-position model. The record is from RNAcentral.